This 371-nucleotide long non-coding RNA is filed under the name Bos taurus (domestic cattle). Its description in RNAcentral is "long non-coding RNA NONBTAT016582". Lineage: Eukaryota; Metazoa; Chordata; Mammalia; Artiodactyla; Bovidae. The record is from RNAcentral.
UUUACUCUAAAAGUUUAAACUUUUAGAACCUUAAUAGAACCUUAAACUCCCAAAUUGUUAAGUCUAGAGAGAAUGCUCUGCGGAGACAGACUUCUGUGGAUUCCUGAUCUCCUCUGGAUACUUACUUAAUGAACUGUGUGAAUAUUUUAUAUAAUGAUCUUGUAAACACAUUUGAACAGUGAGGGAAAAGUCAAUAACUAUUAUAGUGACUCAUUGGCUUUCAAUUUUAUAUUAAAAACCUUUUAAAUGCAUAUAAGUACUUUAUAGUUUUAAUCAUAGCAUGGAUCUAGUUUAGUAUGCUGGCCUUUUCAAUCAACACAUAAUUAGCAGCAGAAUACUGUUUUGGUUUUAAAAUGAACCUUGUAAUGAUA